AUGAUAGUAACACUGAAUAAACUUCUAAAAGGAAUACUGUUGGUUGAUUUUCUUCUUUUAAUUUAUCAUACCUUUUCUUUCUUCAGAAGUGGAAGAAAAAAUACUUGGAAUAUUAUAGAAGAGCGUGUUCUUUUGGAGAAAAAACUAGGACAUGCCUAUGUCCCAUCUUGCCCCCACCUGCCUUGCUCCAUGCGUGAGUAUAUACUGUAGAAUACUUGGAACCAGUUCAGUUCCACUGAACCACCUGACUGGUAAGUGGUUGGGGUUUGGUUGCUGACAGUGUAACUUACUUUUCACUUUUUUCAUCAUAG
RNAcentral lists this long non-coding RNA (311 nucleotides) under Apteryx owenii (little spotted kiwi). RNAcentral's name for it is "lncRNA (ENSAOWG00000003086.1)". Lineage: Eukaryota; Metazoa; Chordata; Aves; Apterygiformes; Apterygidae. The record is from RNAcentral.